This 253-nucleotide ribosomal RNA is filed under the name uncultured bacterium. RNAcentral describes it as "partial 16S ribosomal RNA". It matches the Rfam family "Bacterial small subunit ribosomal RNA", at positions 524 to 776 of the family's 1533-position model. The record is from RNAcentral.
UACGGAGGGGGCUAGCGUUGUUCGGAAUUACUGGGCGUAAAGCGCACGUAGGCGGCUUUGUAAGUUAGAGGUGAAAGCCCGGGGCUCAACUCCGGAACUGCCUUUAAGACUGCAUCGCUUGAAUCAUGGAGAGGUCAGUGGAAUUCCGAGUGUAGAGGUGAAAUUCGUAGAUAUUCGGAAGAACACCAGUGGCGAAGGCGACUUUCUGGUCUGUAACUGACGCUGAGGCGCGAAAGCGUGGGGAGCAAACAGG